RNAcentral lists this ribosomal RNA (422 nucleotides) under uncultured bacterium. RNAcentral's name for it is "partial 16S ribosomal RNA". It matches the Rfam family "Bacterial small subunit ribosomal RNA", at positions 360 to 774 of the family's 1533-position model. The record is from RNAcentral.
AAUUUUGGACAAGGGGGGAAACCCUUAUCCAGCCAUCCCGCGUGUAUGAUGAAGUCCUUCGGGUUUUAAUGUACUUUUGGCAGAGAAGAAAAGGUAACUCCUAAUACUAGAUAAUUCUGAAGCUCUCUGCAGAAUAAGCACCGGCUAACUACGUGCCAGACACCGCGGUAAUACGUAGUGUGCAAGCUUUAAUCGGAAUUACGGGGCGUAAAGCGUGUGUAGGCGGUUCGGAAAGAAAGAUGUGAAAUCCCAGGGCUCAACCUUGGAACUGCAUUUUUAACUGCCGAGCUAGAGUAUGUCAGAGGAGGGUAGAAUUCCACGUGUAGCAGUGAAAUGCGUAGAUAUGUGGAGGAAUACCGAUGGCGAAGGCAGCCCCCUGGGAUAAUACUGACGCUCAGACACGAAAGCGUGGGGAGCAAACA